CCAGUCCCACCAAGACCAAAGCCUAGCCAGCAGGUCAGUAGUGAAGCCCAGGUGCGAUCUUGGUAACAAGGUGUGCGGAGCAAGGGUGGAGCGAGAGUGUAGGCCAUCUAUUGAGCCCCGAAAUAUUGUAGAGUCGCGGUCACUGGAUAACCGUCGAACGACGGGAAAGCCGACGGACUGCAGCGUACCGGAAGGCAACAGUCUCAGCAGUGCCAUGGCAAGCUGCUGCGACACCGCCGGGGUCUGGGAACA
This 252-nucleotide non-coding RNA is filed under the name Microbulbifer rhizosphaerae. The record is from RNAcentral. Lineage: Bacteria; Pseudomonadati; Pseudomonadota; Gammaproteobacteria; Cellvibrionales; Microbulbiferaceae.